Long non-coding RNA from Cyprinus carpio carpio, 566 nucleotides. The record is from Ensembl. Lineage: Eukaryota; Metazoa; Chordata; Actinopteri; Cypriniformes; Cyprinidae.
UUGGCAUACUGACACCAAACUUUGUGUGUGCCAUUCUCACCUCACACAGAAAACACCAAAAUGAUUUGAUUACAGCGCCACCUGUUGGACAAAAGUGAUAAACCAUUUAAUCAUAAUACUAGUGCUUGUAUAUAUGAUUUUUCCGCCAUUUCAAUUACAAUCAUCCUAAAAUGGCUUCAGUUACUUUCUGCAUUUGGUCUGAUGGUCCAUGCCAUGCUUAGCUCCUCAAUUUGCCGCUGGAGUGCUUGGCCCCGUAAUUGCUGCUUGCAGCUAUAUUUAGGGGCCAAGCACCGAAGGUGCGUAGGCACCUAUUGAAAUCGUUGGCGUUAUUAUUAGGGGCCAAGCACCGAAGGUGCUUAGGCACCUAUUGUAUCCGUUAGGAUUCUUAUUAUUAUUAUUAUUAUUAUUAUUAUUAUUAUUAUUAUUAUUAUUAUUCUUCCGCUUCCGCCGCAAGUCUAUGGCAGCCCAUAGAACUGACUGCGGGAAAGUUGUGAAAUUUGGCACACUCAUAGAGGACAGUGUCAACAUUAACCAUCGCAAAUUUAAAGUCUCUAACUCCAGCUCUC